This 1243-nucleotide long non-coding RNA is filed under the name Aquila chrysaetos chrysaetos. Its description in RNAcentral is "lncRNA (ENSACCG00020004648.1)". Lineage: Eukaryota; Metazoa; Chordata; Aves; Accipitriformes; Accipitridae. The record is from RNAcentral.
GGCGGAGUCAACAUUGAAUAUUUAUUAAUCGCCGUCGAAGGACGCUCGGUAAUUACAGGUUCGCCGCGAAUCGCACCGGCGGCGGCUCGUCACGGCCCCGGCGGGGACCGGGCUGCGAGCGUCCAGCGGGGCCGGGGCUGGGGAGGGGGGGGGCGGGGAGGGCGGGGAGGGAGGGGGGGCCCCGGGGAGGUUUGGGGGGGGGGGGGGGGCCGAUGCAUGCAGUAUCGCCGGGCCCCCCGGCCCCGCGCCCCCGCGCUCCGCCGCCGCCGCCAAAGCAGUUGUCCGCGGCGGCGGGGACCGGGGAAGCGGGGGGAGCGGGGAGCGGGGGAGCGGCUCCCGGCGCGGGGGGGGCUCUUGCAUAUCGUUGGCCAUAAAUAUUUAUUAAUCGAAAUGAAACGGAACAGAAACACGAAAGCACUUCUGGUGUCGGACAGGCGGGUCCCCUUUGCUACAACGGUUUGUGGUUUGUUUUUUUUUUUCUUUUUCUUUUUUUUGUUUUUCCCGGUUUUUUUUUUUUUUGCAAAACUUUUUUUUUUUUUGGUUUUUUUUUUUGUUUUUUGUUUUUUUUUUUUUUUCGUUUUGAAAACAUUUCUCAGAAAUCAUCCUCCUCCUCCCUGGUCUCUAAAAAUGCUGGUUUCUCGAAGGUGGUGCGGGCAGGUUCCAAAAAAAAAAAAAAAAAAAAAAAAAAAAGAGCGUUAUCUCGGCUUUACGGCGUCUCCCGACCGAAGGAAUGCGGCAAACCGGAGCGAAGACACACGGGCCGGGCCCGGGCGCCGCGGGGGGGGGCGCAGCCCCGCCAGGCCCCCCCGGAGCCCCGCUUGCAUAGCUGCGGGCUGCCCUGCCGCGCCCGGCCCCGGCUCCGCCAGCUCGGGAAAACCGGGGCGGCUCCGCGGGGUUGGGUUGGUUUUUUUUGUUUUUGUUUUUUUUUUGAAAUUAUUAUUAUCAUUUUUUUGUUGUUGUUCUCCUUUUUUUUUUUUUUUUUUUCCGUUUCAAGUUUUUAAAACAGGUAAAAAACGUCCUGACACACGCGCUGCGAGAGGAGCUCCCGGGGCCGGGAGCGGGGCCGGGGCCCCCCCAAAGCAAAGUGCAUCUCUGAGCGUCCGCCGGGCCGGGCCUGCUUGCAUAGAUAGAAAUGUGGGUUCCUCCCUUCGCCUCUUUAUUGCUUCGGAAAGUUUCGCUCCGCGCCGCAGCGCGGGCUCCUCUCGCUCCCACGGGCCGGGGCAGCGGGUGUCCAAUGCCGGGG